ACGAACGCUGGCGGCAGGCCUAACACAUGCAAGUCGAGCGCUACCUUCGGGUGGAGCGGCGGACGGGUUAGUAACGCGUGGGAAUAUACCCAGUUCUAAGGAAUAGCCACUGGAAACGGUGAGUAAUACCUUAUACGCCCUUCGGGGGAAAGAUUUAUCGGAAUUGGAUUAGCCCGCGUUAGAUUAGAUAGUUGGUGAGGUAAAGGCUCACCAAGGCUACGAUCUUUAGCGGGUCUGAGAGGACGAUCCGCCACAUUGGGACUGAGACACGGCCCAGACUCCUACGGAGGCAGCAGUGGGAAUAUUGG
RNAcentral lists this ribosomal RNA (308 nucleotides) under uncultured Rhodobacterales bacterium. RNAcentral's name for it is "SSU rRNA". It matches the Rfam family "Bacterial small subunit ribosomal RNA", at positions 29 to 367 of the family's 1533-position model. The record is from RNAcentral. Lineage: Bacteria; Pseudomonadati; Pseudomonadota; Alphaproteobacteria; Rhodobacterales.